RNAcentral lists this transfer RNA (76 nucleotides) under Acidobacteriota bacterium. Its description in RNAcentral is "Acidobacteria bacterium tRNA-Thr". It matches the Rfam family "tRNA". Rfam says of the family: Transfer RNA (tRNA) molecules are approximately 80 nucleotides in length. Their secondary structure includes four short double-helical elements and three loops (D, anti-codon, and T loops). RNAcentral also lists the same sequence under 3 other names. Lineage: Bacteria; Pseudomonadati; Acidobacteriota. The record is from RNAcentral.
GCCGAGGUAGCUCAGCUGGUAGAGCAGACGAUUCGUAAUCGUCAGGUCGCCGGUUCAAUCCCGGCCCUCGGCUCCA